UCCAGACUCCUACGGGAGGCAGCAGUGGGGGAUAUUGCACAAUGGGGGAAACCCUGAUGCAGCGACGCCGCGUGGGCGAAGAAGUAUUUCGGUAUGUAAAGCCCUAUCAGCAGGGAAGAAGAAAUGACGGUACCUGAGUAAGAAGCACCGGCUAACUACGUGCCAGCAGCCGCGGUCAUACGUAGGAUCCGAGCAUUAUCCGGAGUGACUGGGUGUAAAGAGUUGCGUAGGUGGCAUAGUAAGUAGCUAGUGAAAUCUGGUGGCUCAACCAUUCAGACUAUUAGCUAAACUGCUAAGCUCGAGACCGUUAGGGGUAACUGGAAUUUCUAGUGUAGGAGUGAAAUCCGUAGAUAUUAGAAGGAACACCGAUAGCGUAGGCAGGUUACUGGGACGGUUCUGACACUAAGGCACGAAAGCGUGGGGAGCAAACGGGAUUAGAUACCCCGGUA
This 449-nucleotide ribosomal RNA is filed under the name uncultured bacterium. RNAcentral's name for it is "bacterial SSU rRNA". It matches the Rfam family "Bacterial small subunit ribosomal RNA", at positions 330 to 792 of the family's 1533-position model. The record is from RNAcentral.